This 328-nucleotide long non-coding RNA is filed under the name Parus major (Great Tit). Its description in RNAcentral is "lncRNA (ENSPMJG00000011249.1)". The record is from RNAcentral. Lineage: Eukaryota; Metazoa; Chordata; Aves; Passeriformes; Paridae.
AAAAAAAUUUGCUGUGUAAGGAGAUAAGAGAAGUUUCCCACUUCAGAAGUGAACACAGAAGAGGUUGAACAGGUUGAAGGUCCAGGAGAUGCUGCCAGAAGGGGACUGGGGCUGGAGAUUAAUUUGAUGAAACCUGGGUGACCUCCAUGCCUUUCCCUACCGUGUUUAGAAAACAACAGAUAAGGUAACGCAGUAAGGUCAAGUGCAACUGUGGUCUGAGACUCCAGUAUGGGAAAUUGAAAGUAGUCAAAAACCAGCCUGGACUAGGACCACAGACAGGUACUGUGGCAGUUCUCUGGGCUACAGGACUCUGGUAAGGAACCAGGGC